UGAAACAUUCACGGUUUUAAA
RNAcentral lists this non-coding RNA (21 nucleotides) under Caenorhabditis elegans. The record is from RNAcentral. Lineage: Eukaryota; Metazoa; Nematoda; Chromadorea; Rhabditida; Rhabditidae.